AUUGAACGCUGGCGGCAUGCUUUACACAUGCAAGUCGAACGAGUGGCGAACGGGUGAGUAAUAUAUCGGAACGUACCGAGUAAUGGGGAAUAACCAAUCGAACGAUGGGCUAAUACCGCAUAUUAUUCGAGCGGCCGAUAACUGAUUAGUUAGUUGUUGGGGUAAAGGCCUACCAAGGCGACGAUCAGUAGCGGGUCUGGGAGGACGAUUCGCCAAACUGGGACUGAGACACGGCCCAGACUCCUACGUGAGGCAGCAGUGGGGAAUUUUGGACAAUGGGGGAAACCCUGAUCCAGCCAUGCCGCGUGUAUGAAGAAGGCCUUCGGGUUGUAAAGUACUUUUGUCAGGGAAGCGGUACCUAAAGAAUAAGCACCGGCUAACUACGUGCCAGCAGCCGCGGUAAUUC
This 406-nucleotide ribosomal RNA is filed under the name uncultured bacterium. RNAcentral describes it as "partial 16S ribosomal RNA". It matches the Rfam family "Bacterial small subunit ribosomal RNA", at positions 30 to 526 of the family's 1533-position model. The record is from RNAcentral.